Long non-coding RNA from Cyprinus carpio (common carp), 386 nucleotides. NCBI's taxonomy places the organism in Eukaryota, Metazoa, Chordata, Actinopteri, Cypriniformes, Cyprinidae. The record is from Ensembl.
UAAACCUGCUGCACCGACUGGUCCAACUGGAAAAUCCAGUAUUCAGUGUCCACGGCAUGGGCUGAGGAACCCAAACACGUCCAUGAGGACACAUGCCUCAGCUGCUGGGAGCGGAGCGGGACUCGGGGCAGAGGAGAAGAAGAUGAUCAGCUGAGAGGUGAAGGACAGAGCCGGACGAGAGUGGAGGCGGAUGAGGCACUUCGCAGCAGUCAUCAGGGUCUGAAUGAGACUUUCGAUCCAUGAGGAUUUCAUGUCUUUGGAACAGCAGACGUCAAAUUUUGUGAUCCACUUGAGAGGCCUGAAUGCUUCUGAGAAGGUAAAGACAAGAUUAUCUGUGGAUCAGUCACAAACGUCUCUUCCCACUGUCCCGGUGUGUGUUGCUGCUC